CCUACGGGGGGCUGCAGUCGAGGAUCUUCGGCAAUGGGCGCAAGCCUGACCGAGCGACGCCGCGUGCGGGAUGAAGGCCUUCGGGUUGUAAACCGCUGUCAGAGGGGAUGAAAUGCCGGGAGGUUCUCCUUUCGGUUUGACAGAUCCUCAGAGGAAGGACGGGCUAAGUUCGUGCCAGCAGCCGCGGUAAGCCGAACCGUCCAAACGUUAUUCGGUAACGCUGGGCUUGGCGGGUGGGUAAGUGGCGCGGGAAAUCCCUCGGCUCAACCGAGGAAGUGCGCUCCAAACUACCGUGCUUGAGGGAGACAGAGGUGAGUGGAACUUAGGGUGGAGCGGUGAAAUGCGUUGAUAUCCGAAGGAACACCAGUGGCGAAAGCGACUCACUGGGUCUCUUCUGACGCUGAGGCACGAAAGCUAGGGUAGCGAACGGGAUUAGAUACCCGUGUAGUC
This 450-nucleotide ribosomal RNA is filed under the name uncultured bacterium. RNAcentral describes it as "partial 16S ribosomal RNA". It matches the Rfam family "Bacterial small subunit ribosomal RNA", at positions 338 to 795 of the family's 1533-position model. The record is from RNAcentral.